Molecule: ribosomal RNA, 434 nt
Filed under: uncultured bacterium
Lineage: Bacteria
Description: partial 16S ribosomal RNA
Rfam family: Bacterial small subunit ribosomal RNA
Source: RNAcentral
AGCGAACGCUGGCGGCAGGCCUAACACAUGCAAGUCGAACGAACCUUUCGGGGUUAGUGGCGGACGGGUGAGUAACACGUGGGAACGUGCCCUUAGGUUCGGAAUAACUCAGGGAAACUUGUGCUAAUACCGAAUGUGCCCUUCGGGGGAAAGAUUUAUCGCCUGUAGAGCGGCCCGCGUCUGAUUAGCUAGUUGGGUGAGGUAAUGGCUCACCAAGGCGACGAUCAGUAGCUGGUCUGAGAGGAUGAUCCGCCACAUUGGGAGUGAGACACGGCCCAAACUCCUACGGGAGGCAGCAGUGGGGAAUCUUGCGCAAUGGGCGAAAGCCUGACGCAGCCAUGCCGGGUGAAUGAUGAAGGUCUUAGGAUUGUAAAAUUCUUUCACCGGGGACGAUAAUGACGGUACCCGGAGAAGAAGCCCCGGCUAACUUCGUG